CCAUAUUCUUGCUGGAGAAAUUAUUUUUAUUUUGCACCAAAAUCCAAAUUCUCUUCUGAAGACUGGAAUGGAUUGUCCCUGGUAGUCCCUCAAGGUCAGGCUGCAGGGGUUCAGAUGGUUCUUUUUGAUGUCUGGCACCAGAUUCUUCAGUGUCUUCCAGGAGAGGAGAGAAAGUGAGGAUUCGGUGUCCACCUCCAUCUGACAGGGGCUGCCUUCUAGGAGAAGAUCAACAUUAAUUUUAUUAAUAUUAAAACAAUAGGACAGUGACUCAGCUCUUGGGAAUGCUUUGUUGAUGGCAUAGCAUUCCUGUUUGGGUUUGAAAUUUCUUGGCUGGUUCAAAUGUUGAGGUGGCCGGAUUGUGUUUCUUGGUGCUUGGCAAAUUCUAACCAGGUGGCCUUUCUUCUGGCACUUCAGGCAGACUGCAUUUCUAAAGCUGCAAGUGGCUCUCAGAUGGUCUCUCCCACAACUGAGGCAAAUCAGCUGUGGUGUCAGUUGUUUCUUGUCAGUGG
Notechis scutatus (mainland tiger snake) is the source of this 509-nucleotide non-coding RNA. The record is from RefSeq and is a predicted model, not a curated record. Lineage: Eukaryota; Metazoa; Chordata; Lepidosauria; Squamata; Elapidae.